AGUGAACGCUGGCGGUAGGCCUAACACAUGCAAGUCGAACGGCAGCACAGUAAGAGCUUGCUCUUACGGGUGGCGAGUGGCGGACGGGUGAGGAAUACAUCGGAAUCUACUUUUUCGUGGGGGAUAACGUAGGGAAACUUACGCUAAUACCGCAUACGACCUACGGGUGAAAGCAGGGGAUCUUCGGACCUUGCCCGACUGAAUGAGCCGGUGUCGGAUUAGCUAGUUGGCGGGGUAAGGGCCCACCAAGGCGACGAACCGUAGCUGGUCUGAGAGGAUGAUCAGCCACACUGGAACUGAGACACGGUCCAGACUCCUACGGGAGGCAGCAGUGGGGAAUAUUGGACAAUGGGCGCAAGCCUGAUCCAGCCAUACCGCGUGGGUGAAGAAGGCCUUCGGGUUGUAAAGCCCUUUUGUUGGGAAAGAAAAGCAGCAGGUUAAUACCCCGCUGUUCUGACGGUACCCAAAGAAUAAGCACCGGCUAACUUCGUG
RNAcentral lists this ribosomal RNA (492 nucleotides) under uncultured bacterium. RNAcentral's name for it is "partial 16S ribosomal RNA". It matches the Rfam family "Bacterial small subunit ribosomal RNA", at positions 29 to 507 of the family's 1533-position model. The record is from RNAcentral.